This is a long non-coding RNA of Oreochromis niloticus (Nile tilapia), 1473 nucleotides long. NCBI's taxonomy places the organism in Eukaryota, Metazoa, Chordata, Actinopteri, Cichliformes, Cichlidae. The record is from Ensembl.
AUGAGUGCAUCUUUUAGAAGCUGUCCUGAGCAGUCCUGGUCUGCCAUUUCUCUUCUGAAUGAGUUGCACAAAUUUUGUCAACAAGAACAUGAUGCACUUACAGUCCUGGUUGAGAGGCUCCAUGGGGAGAGCCUGAAACUGUUGUGUCUGUACGUCAGGUUGGCAACUGUUAGAGCUCAGAGAGAGAAAAUGUCCUAUACGGCUCUUCUGGCUGCUCGCCAGUCCUGGGAGACAUGGCCACAUGUUAACGGUCCAUGUAGAGCAGAGCAGGCCUCCUUGUGGCUACAUGGAAAAGCACAAGAGAAAGAGUAUGACUUUGAGACAAUAGAGCAGCAGUCAGUGCUGCAGCUGCUGGUGCUGACUCAGGAGCAGGAGAGGAAGCAACUUAUCACAUUAAUACACGGGAUCUCAAUAAAGGAUUUGCAGGCACCAGCAUGCACAGUGCCUCCAAAAUAUGACAAUCAUCAUCAAGUUUCUUUGAGGAAUGGCUGUAUUAAAAGGCUGCAUCAAAUUCAUGCUUGGUUGCAGGCACACAGUGGUACUCAGAGCCCUCUACAGCAAACAAACCCUGAACCACAACCAAUGGCCCAGCCCAAAGUGCAGGCCUACAGAGAAUGGUCCCCACUUCUCUUAGAAGACUGCGCCCUGCUUCUUCUAACCCAUCUAACAGAACUUCAGGAGGUCCAAGCUUCUGCUUUACUGCAAGCGAUGAUGGAUGAGAAUGCACAGCUUCUCCAGGCUUUGCGGGAUAAAUAUAAAUCUGAAUUUCAAGCUCAGUGCUUUAGCAACCUGCUCCACCUCCUGAUCUCAGAUUCCCCCCUUAGUUCAGGCUCUAUGUUAAAUCUUUAUCCAAACUGUACUGAAACCAGCAGCAGCAAGCAAAUCAUAGUUCAGUCCUCUUACACUGGACAGGCAGAAGUCCAAAACAUGAGUGGUGGAUCAGCUGAAGCUGAGACGGUCGAUUCAAGCAAAAGCAGCAACAGUGUAGUGAAUGAAGUCCAAAAUGCGGAUGGGACUUACAAACAGGAUGUCUGUUCAGGUUGUGGAGCAGUGAUGGAGGACCUGCCCUACUUGGAGAUCUUGUGUGUGUCAGAUCCUCAUGAGGGUCUUGCUGCAGAUGGAGGAGCCAAAGAGGAAGAAGAGGGCAGUGAAUUAAAGAACCCCAAGAGCUGUGAGAAACAGGGCUCUUUAAUCACCCUUGCCUGGAGCAAACCACCAGAGGAUGACACAGACAGCGCAGAAGAGCCUGCAGAUGGGUGUACAGGACAGAUUCAGGAUGGUCCGAGAAGCCUGAACACGCAAGCACGGCCCACACAAUGUGAUGUGUCAAAUCAAGAGAGAGAUGGAGAAGAGCUAAAACCCACUGUGUUGCAGUCUGGUACUCCAGAUCACUGUGACACACAGUCUGCAAACCAGCAGUGCAGCACAGUACAAGAGGUACCUCAUAAGAGUGCAGACCAUAAUUCACUGUGA